RNAcentral lists this ribosomal RNA (429 nucleotides) under Fusobacteriota bacterium. RNAcentral describes it as "Fusobacteria bacterium partial 16S ribosomal RNA". It matches the Rfam family "Bacterial small subunit ribosomal RNA", at positions 355 to 776 of the family's 1533-position model. The record is from RNAcentral. Lineage: Bacteria; Fusobacteriati; Fusobacteriota.
UGGGGAAUAUUGCGCAAUGGGCGAAAGCCUGACGCAGCGACGCCGCGUGAGGGAUGAAGGUUUUCGGAUCGUAAACCUCUGUCAGAAGGGAAGAAACCGCACUGUGCUAAUCAGCAGUGCCUUGACGGUACCUUCAAAGGAAGCACCGGCUAACUCCGUGCCAGCAGCCGCGGUAAUACGGAGGGUGCAAGCGUUAAUCGGAAUUACUGGGCGUAAAGCGCACGUAGGCUGCUUUGUAAGUCAGGGGUGAAAUCCAACGGCUCAACCGUGGAACUGCCUUUGAUACUGCUUAGCUUGAAUCCGGGAGAGGGUGGCGGAAUUCCAGGUGUAGGGGUGAAAUCCGUAGAUAUCUGGAGGAACAUCAGUGGCGAAGGCGGCCACCUGGACCGGUAUUGACGCUGAGGUGCGAAAGCGUGGGGAGCAAACAGG